RNAcentral lists this long non-coding RNA (300 nucleotides) under Homo sapiens (human). RNAcentral's name for it is "HSALNT0389271". Lineage: Eukaryota; Metazoa; Chordata; Mammalia; Primates; Hominidae. The record is from RNAcentral.
AGCAGCAGAGAAGUGACAAUGCCAGUGGCUCCCUUCUCAACCUCUCCACCAGAGUAGAAGAAUCCUAUAUGCCAUCCUCUGGCAGGUGAUUACUGUACAACAGGAAAAGUGGCAACAGGAGGUGACAAAAUAAAUGAUCUCACACAAAUACUAAUUGUUUCCAUUGGGUAUUGUUAGGAAUUGUCAAAAUUGAGUUCUCUGCAUUACCUGACGUAUAGUGGCAUCACCUAACAGAAGUUACAACCCUAUGAGCACUUACCUUGUACUGUUCUGAGCACUUUUAACAUAUUAUAACUCAAU